Transfer RNA from Trichosporon asahii var. asahii CBS 8904, 104 nucleotides. It matches the Rfam family "tRNA". Rfam says of the family: Transfer RNA (tRNA) molecules are approximately 80 nucleotides in length. The record is from Rfam. NCBI's taxonomy places the organism in Eukaryota, Fungi, Basidiomycota, Tremellomycetes, Trichosporonales, Trichosporonaceae.
GGUGACGUGUCCGAGUGGUUAAGGAGUCAGAUUUGAAUUGCAAUCAGCAUCAUUCAAAAUACCUGAUGGUUAUCGCCGCGUAGGUUCAAAUCCUGCCGUCAUCG